RNAcentral lists this small RNA (72 nucleotides) under Xanthomonas codiaei. Its description in RNAcentral is "sX9 sRNA". It matches the Rfam family "Xanthomonas sRNA sX9". Lineage: Bacteria; Pseudomonadati; Pseudomonadota; Gammaproteobacteria; Lysobacterales; Lysobacteraceae. The record is from RNAcentral. RNAcentral also lists the same sequence under 1 other name.
AUGUACCACGCGCACCCUCCCGAGCGCGCCGUCCACACCCGCCUGCCGACGGCUCGCGACGUCCUGUUAGCC